AGUGAACGCUGGCGGUAGGCCUAACACAUGCAAGUCGAACGGCAGCACAGUAAGAGCUUGCUCUUACGGGUGGCGAGUGGCGGACGGGUGAGGAAUACAUCGGAAUCUACUUUUUCGUGGGGGAUAACGUAGGGAAACUUACGCUAAUACCGCAUACGACCUACGGGUGAAAGCAGGGGAUCUUCGGACCUUGCGCGAUUGAAUGAGCCGAUGUCGGAUUAGCUAGUUGGCGGGGUAAAGACCCACCAAGGCGACGAUCCGUAGCUGGUCUGAGAGGAUGAUCAGCCACACUGGAACUGAGACACGGUCCAGACUCCUACGGGAGGCAGCAGUGGGGAAUAUUGGACAAUGGGCGCAAGCCUGAUCCAGCCAUACCGCGUGGGUGAAGAAGGCCUUCGGGUUGUAAAGCCCUUUUGUUGGGAAAGAAAAGCAGCAGGUUAAUACCCCGCUGUCCUGACGGUACCCAAAGAAUAAGCACCGGCUAACUUCGUG
This 492-nucleotide ribosomal RNA is filed under the name uncultured bacterium. RNAcentral's name for it is "partial 16S ribosomal RNA". It matches the Rfam family "Bacterial small subunit ribosomal RNA", at positions 29 to 507 of the family's 1533-position model. The record is from RNAcentral.